RNAcentral lists this ribosomal RNA (254 nucleotides) under uncultured bacterium. RNAcentral describes it as "partial 16S ribosomal RNA". It matches the Rfam family "Bacterial small subunit ribosomal RNA", at positions 524 to 776 of the family's 1533-position model. The record is from RNAcentral.
UACAGAGGUCUCAAGCGUUGUUCGGAUUCAUUGGGCGUAAAGGGUGCGUAGGCGGCGCGGUAAGUCGGAUGUGAAAUCUCGGAGCUUAACUUCGAAACUGCAUUCGAUACUGCCGUGCUUGAGGACUGGAGAGGAGACUGGAAUUUACGGUGUAGCGGUGAAAUGCGUAGAUAUCGUAAGGAAGACCAGUGGCGAAGGCGGGUCUCUGGACAGUUCCUGACGCUGAGGCACGAAGGUCAGGGGGAGCAAACAGG